RNAcentral lists this long non-coding RNA (1514 nucleotides) under Ananas comosus (pineapple). RNAcentral's name for it is "long non-coding RNA (ACOM_LNC002526)". Lineage: Eukaryota; Viridiplantae; Streptophyta; Magnoliopsida; Poales; Bromeliaceae. The record is from RNAcentral.
AAAAAAGAUUACACUCUCUCAAUAAAUAACUAGCAUAGUUAUCCGCACGAUGCAGCGGACAAAUAUUAUCAAAGCGAUUUUUUUAUUAUUGUUGAUUAUCGAUGAUAGUUUGAAAUUGUACAUAUAUUAAAAAUAAAAUACAGUGAGGAGACGAAAAAAGAAAAAAAAAAGAGAAAAAAAGAAAGGCAUAAAAUAAAGGAAUGACAAAAUAAUUUAAAUAAAAUUAUUAGCCAGAUUAAUAAUUCAAUUAAUUUAAAUAAAAAUAAUUUAAAUAAAAUUAGCUCAAGGUGCUAUAAAAUUUUCAUAUAUAAACUUUAAUAUGAUUUAAAUUGUAUUUGUUGAAUUAGAUUUUAAUUGUAUAAUAGUAAAUUUUUUAAAAUUAUUCAGUGUAUAUAUAAAAUUGUAAAUUGUGGUAAGCAAUUAUUUAUAACAUACAUGCAAAUCUUUUAAAAGAACAUCUAAUUCUAGAAACAAAUCCUAUAAAAAAAUAUAUUUUCUAUCAGCUUAUUGUUUAACAAUUUUACAUACAUCUAAAUAACUAAAAAAGAAAUUGAAAAAAGCUAAUAGAUAGGGUAGUUAAAAAAAAAAUAUUAAAGAAAAAGUAAAAUACAAAAAAUUCCCGAUUACUUGAUUAUCACCAUAUAUAUAUAUAUAUAAUUGAUUAUAUAUCCAUACACUCUCUUCCACUUCUGUUGUCGCUACCGCCGCCGCCGCAUCCAAGAUCUUCAUCUUCUACCACCACUGUCAUCCCCACCAAAUACACGACGGGAUCUGCGGAUUCUAUGAACUUGACACGAUGCGACAGUGAUGAAGCGAGCGACUUUUACGGGAGAGGGAGAGGAUGAAAGAGAUUUAGUAAGAGUUGAAGAACGAAGAGAUUAAUGGAGGCAUGGGGGAAGAAAAAAUUAAUUAUUAAUUAAAUACAAUAAUAAAGAGAGAGAAGUGGGGUUAUUGGAAGGUAAAGAGGUGAACGUUAAAGAAGAGAGAAGAGUUAGAAAUUUUGGAAAAAAAAAUUAAGUUUGAAUUAAUUACAAUAAUAAUAAAAAGAGAGAAGGUGAUGUUAUUGGAAGUUAAAGAGUUAGACGUUAAAGAAGAUGAAAAAGAAAUAAUUAAAAUAUAAAAUAAAAUAAUUAAAAAAAUGAAAAAAUGAGAGCUUGCCACAUCAUCAUUUGAUAUUGGGGAUUCAUAUAAGAGUAUAGAUGUCUCAUUCAUCAACCAUAAGUAUUUAAAAUUACCUAUUUAUAAUUUUUGAUUGGGUUGAUAUAUAUUAUCCAAAUUCUAAGUCCGAUAAGAUUAGUACAUAGUGAAAAUAAUAAUAAGUUAUCAUCAAAUAAAUAAAAUUAAAGCAUAAUGAGAUUAGGGUUAAAAUUGAAAAAGAGAGUGAUCGAUAAUGAGAGAGAAAGUUUAGGUUGAUAAUAAUAAUUAUGAUAAUUAAAAUUUCAAUACAACUGAAUAAAAUAACUUACAUAAAAAAAUUAAAACGUUAACAACUAUUAAUUUAGAAAUACAAAAUC